UUGACAUCUUUGAUUUCUUUCCAGAUUAAUUAUGUUUCUGCACAUGACAAUGAAACCCUGUUUGACAUUGUGAGUCUUAAGACCCCAAUGGAAAUAUCUGUUGAUGAGAGAUGCAGGAUAAAUCAUUUGGCGACAAGUAUAAUUGCUCUCGGCCAGGGAAUUCCAUUUUUUCACUCUGGUGAUGAAAUCCUACGCUCAAAGUCACUUGAUCGUGAUUCGUACAAUUCUGGUGACUGGUUCAAUAGGUUAGAUUUCACCUACAAUUCUAACAAUUGGGGUGUGGGCCUUCCUCCAAAACAGAAAAACGAACAUAAUUGGCCAUU
This is a long non-coding RNA of Pistacia vera, 323 nucleotides long. RefSeq lists it as uncharacterized. The transcript has 4 exons. The record is from RefSeq and is a predicted model, not a curated record. Lineage: Eukaryota; Viridiplantae; Streptophyta; Magnoliopsida; Sapindales; Anacardiaceae.